Molecule: ribosomal RNA, 468 nt
Filed under: uncultured bacterium
Lineage: Bacteria
Description: partial 16S ribosomal RNA
Rfam family: Bacterial small subunit ribosomal RNA
Source: RNAcentral
GACGAACGCUGGCGGCGGGCUUAACACAUGCAAGUCGAACGGAAAGGCCCUGCUUUUGUGGGGUGCUCGAGUGGCGAACGGGUGAGUAACACGUGAGUAACCUGCCCUUGACUUUGGGAUAACUUCAGGAAACUGGGGCUAAUACCGGAUAGGAGCUCCUGCUGCAUGGUGGGGGUUGGAAAGUUUCGGCGGUUGGGGAUGGACUCGCGGCUUAUCAGCUUGUUGGUGGGGUAGUGGCUUACCAAGGCUUUGACGGGUAGCCGGCCUGAGAGGGUGACCGGCCACAUUGGGACUGAGAUACGGACCAGACUCCUACGGGAGGCAGCAGUGGGGAAUAUUGCACAAUGGGCGGAAGCCUGAUGCAGCAACGCCGCGUGCGGGAUGACGGCCUUCGGGUUGUAAACCGCUUUCGCCUGUGACGAAGCGUGAGUGACGGUAAUGGGUAAAGAAGCACCGGCUAACUACGUG